AGUUUGAUCAUGCUCAGAUUGAACGCUGGCGGCAGGCCUAACACAUGCAAGUCGAGCGGUAACAUUUCCAAAAGCUUGCUUUUGGAGAUGACGAGCGGCGGACGGGUGAGUAAUGCCUGGGAACAUGCCUUGGUGUGGGGGAUAACCAUUGGAAACGAUGGCUAAUACCGCAUAACGUCUACGGACCAAAGAGGGGGACCUUCGGGCCUCUCGCGCCAAGAUUGGCCCAGGUGGGAUUAGCUAGUAGGUGGGGUAACGGCUCACCUAGGCGACGAUCCCUAGCUGGUCUGAGAGGAUGAUCAGCCACACUGGAACUGAGACACGGUCCAGACUCCUACGGGAGGCAGCAGUGGGGAAUAUUGCACAAUGGGGGAAACCCUGAUGCAGCCAUGCCGCGUGUGUGAAGAAGGCCUUCGGGUUGUAAAGCACUUUCAGUAGGGAGGAAGGCAGUGUCGUUAAUAGCGGCAUUGUUUGACGUUACCUACAGAAGAAGCACCGGCUAACUCCGUGCCAGCAGCCGCGGUAAUACGGAGGGU
This 536-nucleotide ribosomal RNA is filed under the name Vibrio sp. CAIM 1349. RNAcentral's name for it is "bacterial SSU rRNA". It matches the Rfam family "Bacterial small subunit ribosomal RNA", at positions 10 to 533 of the family's 1533-position model. Lineage: Bacteria; Pseudomonadati; Pseudomonadota; Gammaproteobacteria; Vibrionales; Vibrionaceae. The record is from RNAcentral.